AAAAAAUAAAUAAAAAAACAGUGAUUAUCCAUGUCAUCAGUUCAUGUCAUUUACCCUAAUCCACGUCAUCCGAAACCAAAAAUUCCCUUAAAACUUUCAGUUUCUCAUUUUUUCAGCACAUCUUACUGUUCAUCCGCGCAAAAAAAAAA
This 149-nucleotide small RNA is filed under the name Arabidopsis thaliana (thale cress). RNAcentral describes it as "ATSL080250". The record is from RNAcentral. Lineage: Eukaryota; Viridiplantae; Streptophyta; Magnoliopsida; Brassicales; Brassicaceae.